This 297-nucleotide ribosomal RNA is filed under the name uncultured Pseudomonadota bacterium. RNAcentral describes it as "uncultured proteobacterium partial 16S ribosomal RNA". It matches the Rfam family "Bacterial small subunit ribosomal RNA", at positions 29 to 351 of the family's 1533-position model. Lineage: Bacteria; Pseudomonadati; Pseudomonadota. The record is from RNAcentral.
AGCGAACGCUGGCGGCAGGCUUAACACAUGCAAGUCGAACGGGCACCUUCGGGUGUCAGUGGCAGACGGGUGAGUAACACGUGGGAACGUGCCCUUUGGUUCGGAACAACUCCGGGAAACUGGAGCUAAUACCGGAUAAGCCCUUCGGGGGAAAGAUUUAUCGCCAAAGGAUCGGCCCGCGUCUGAUUAGCUAGUUGGUGAGGUAAUGGCUCACCAAGGCGACGAUCAGUAGCUGGUCUGAGAGGAUGAUCAGCCACACUGGGACUGAGACACGGCCCAGACUCCUACGGGAGGCUG